This 723-nucleotide long non-coding RNA is filed under the name Vulpes vulpes (red fox). RNAcentral describes it as "lncRNA (ENSVVUG00000017767.1)". The record is from RNAcentral. Lineage: Eukaryota; Metazoa; Chordata; Mammalia; Carnivora; Canidae.
GGGGGCUGGUGGUCCGAGUCCAAGCUGCCGUCACCGACCCGGCCAGUGUGUGGUCAGUCCCUUGGAGGGGCUGGGAGGGGACUCCCCCGUGCCGGCGAGGAUGAUGUUGGCGACGCUGCCGCGUGUGUGGCAGGCUCCGUGGCUGCCUGGGAGGCCACAGCCUGAGUGAUGGGUGACAGCUGGGAGAGGGUGGGUGACACCUGCCGGGCCUGCUGCCUCCUCGCCUCGUGCUCGGGGACAACGGGCUGACACCAGCGGGCGGUGCUGCGGCGAGGAGCCUGGUGUGCUCAAGCCCUGGCUGGUGCGCGGAUGCCCAGGUCAUUGAAGAUUGACAUCACCUGAAUUGUGAAGUCAAUCUUUGCGACAGAGGAAGAAAACUUGGCAGCUGCACAGAAGGAAAAGUGGGGCAAAUGGACAGAAGAAUGUGGGGUGGCUGGGUCAUGUCCCUGCCUCCUUCCAAUUUUCAAGUGAAAGCCCCAAGGACAGACAAAAGUGGAGGGAAGACUAUAGAGUGUUGGCGGAAGCCUUUGGUUCUGGCUUGUGAUUCUUGGAAAUGCUCUGACAUCUCCUUGUUCAUCAGUUCCACAAGAUAUGCCUCUGAUCCAGUGGCUGCAGUUGCCUCUGGGGGCACAUGAGACAUUUCCUGCUCAUCCUACUUUCUUGAAGGACUUGAUUCUAUUUCCUUUGUGUUUAGUCAGGAUUGGCCAACUUGCCAGAGAAUAG